Molecule: ribosomal RNA, 253 nt
Filed under: uncultured bacterium
Lineage: Bacteria
Description: partial 16S ribosomal RNA
Rfam family: Bacterial small subunit ribosomal RNA
Source: RNAcentral
UACGUAGGGGGCAAGCGUUGUCCGGAUUUAUUGGGCGUAAAGAGCGUGUAGGCGGUCAGGUAGGUCCGUUGUGAAAACUCGAGGCUCAACCUCGAGAUGUCGGCGGAAACCACUUGGCUAGAGUCCGGAAGAGGAGAGUGGAGUUCCUGGUGUAGCGGUGAAAUGCGCAGAUAUCAGGAAGAACACCUAUGGCGAAGGCAGCUCUCUGGGACGGUACUGACGCUGAGACGCGAAAGCGUGGGGAGCGAACAGG